CAAUAGCGUAUAUUAAAGUUGUUGCAGUUAAAAAGCUCGUAGUUGGACCUUGGACCUGGACAGGCGGUCCGCCUCACGGCGUGUACUGUCUUGCUGGGUCUUUCCUCUUGGUGAUCUGUUGUUUCGGCAGCAGGGAACCAGGACUUUUACUUUGAAAAAAUUAGAGUGUUCAAAGCAGGCUCGACGCCGGAAUAUAUUAGCAUGGAAUAAUAAAAUAGGACGUGCGGUUCUAUUUUGUUGGUUUUUGGAAUCGCCGUAAUGAUUAAUAGGGACAGUCGGGGCAUUAGUACUCACAUGCUAGAGGUGAAAUUCUUGGAUUUUGUGAAGACUAACUUCUGCGAAAGCAUUUGCCAAGGAUGUUUUCAUUAA
This 369-nucleotide ribosomal RNA is filed under the name uncultured eukaryote. Its description in RNAcentral is "partial 18S ribosomal RNA". It matches the Rfam family "Eukaryotic small subunit ribosomal RNA", at positions 592 to 976 of the family's 1831-position model. The record is from RNAcentral.